RNAcentral lists this ribosomal RNA (497 nucleotides) under uncultured bacterium. RNAcentral's name for it is "partial 16S ribosomal RNA". It matches the Rfam family "Bacterial small subunit ribosomal RNA", at positions 28 to 507 of the family's 1533-position model. The record is from RNAcentral.
GAUGAACGCUGGCGGCGUGCCUAAUACAUGCAAGUCGAGCGAACGGACGAGAAGCUUGCUUCUCUGAUGUUAGCGGCGGACGGGUGAGUAACACGUGGAUAACCUACCUAUAAGACUGGGAUAACUUCGGGAAACCGGAGCUAAUACCGGAUAAUAUUUUGAACCGCAUGGUUCAAAAGUGAAAGACGGUCUUGCUGUCACUUAUAGAUGGAUCCGCGCUGCAUUAGCUAGUUGGUAAGGUAACGGCUUACCAAGGCAACGAUGCAUAGCCGACCUGAGAGGGUGAUCGGCCACACUGGAACUGAGACACGGUCCAGACUCCUACGGGAGGCAGCAGUAGGGAAUCUUCCGCAAUGGGCGAAAGCCUGACGGAGCAACGCCGCGUGAGUGAUGAAGGUCUUCGGAUCGUAAAACUCUGUUAUUAGGGAAGAACAUAUGUGUAAGUAACUGUACACAUCUUGACGGUACCUAAUCAGAAAGCCACGGCUAACUACGUG